GAUGAACGCUGGCGGCGUGCCUAAUACAUGCAAGUAGAACGCUGAAGGAAGGAGCUUGCUCUUUCCGGAUGAGUUGCGAACGGGUGAGUAACGCGUAGGUAACCUGCCUGGUAGCGGGGGAUAACUAUUGGAAACGAUAGCUAAUACCGCAUAACAGUAGAUGUUGCAUGAUAUCUACUUAAAAGGUGCAAUUGCACCACUACCAGAUGGACCUGCGUUGUAUUAGCUAGUUGGUGAGGUAACGGCUCACCAAGGCGACGAUACAUAGCCGACCUGAGAGGGUGAUCGGCCACACUGGGUCUGAGACACGGCCCAGACUCCUACGGGAGGCAGCAGUAGGGAAUCUUCGGCAAUGGACGGAAGUCUGACCGAGCAACGCCGCGUGAGUGAAGAAGGUUUUCGGAUCGUAAAGCUCUGUUGUAAGAGAAGAACGAGUGUGAGAGUGGAAAGUUCACACUGUGACGGUAUCUUACCAGAAAGGGACGGCUAACUACGUG
Molecule: ribosomal RNA, 497 nt
Filed under: uncultured bacterium
Lineage: Bacteria
Description: partial 16S ribosomal RNA
Rfam family: Bacterial small subunit ribosomal RNA
Source: RNAcentral